This 229-nucleotide ribosomal RNA is filed under the name uncultured bacterium. RNAcentral's name for it is "partial 16S ribosomal RNA". It matches the Rfam family "Bacterial small subunit ribosomal RNA", at positions 118 to 347 of the family's 1533-position model. The record is from RNAcentral.
UGGGCAACCUGCCCCCGGCUCUGGGAUAACUCCAAGAAAUUGGGGCUAAUACCGGAUGUGACCGCUGACCGCAUGGUCUGGUGGUGGAAAGGGUUUCCGGCUGGGGAUGGGCCCGCGGCCUAUCAGCUUGUUGGUGGGGUAGUGGCCUACCAAGGCGACGACGGGUAGCCGGCCUGAGAGGGUGACCGGCCACACUGGGACUGAGACACGGCCCAGACUCCUACGGGAG